This 460-nucleotide ribosomal RNA is filed under the name uncultured bacterium. RNAcentral's name for it is "partial 16S ribosomal RNA". It matches the Rfam family "Bacterial small subunit ribosomal RNA", at positions 338 to 795 of the family's 1533-position model. The record is from RNAcentral.
CCUACGGGAAGCAGCAGUGAGGAAUAUUGGUCAAUGGACGAGAGUCUGAACCAGCCAAGUAGCGUGAAGGAUGACUGCCCUAUGGGUUGUAAACUUCUUUUAUAUGGGAAUAAAAUGUUCCACGUGUGGGAUUUUGUAUGUACCAUAUGAAUAAGGAUCGGCUAACUCCGUGCCAGCAGCCGCGGUAAUACGGAGGAUCCGAGCGUUAUCCGGAUUUAUUGGGUUUAAAGGGAGCGUAGGUGGAUUGUUAAGUCCGUUGUGAAAGUUUGCGGCUCAACCGUAAAAUUGCAGUUGAAACUGGCAGUCUUGAGUACAGUAGAGGUGGGCGGAAUUCGUGGUGUAGCGGUGAAAUGCUUAGAUAUCACGAAGAACUCCGAUUGCGAAGGCAGUUCACUGGACUGCAACUGACACUGAGGCUCGAAAGUGUGGGUAUCAAACAGGAUUAGAUACCCUUGUAGUC